AAAAACCGAUUUGUAUGCAUAUAACUGACAUCGCUUUUUACUGUUGACAGAUGACAAAACUUUUGUUUGAAUUUUCAGAAAACCGCUGAGCGGCUAAGUUAAAAUUUGUAAAAGAAGCGCGGGGGAGGAAAAACUCAUUCCCACACUUAGACAUAUUUAGAGUAACAUUGACUUCAGCUUGCCCUAACACUAUUCGACCAAACCUCCCUUUUCUGCUUCGUUCUCCGCCUCCGACAAAAAUCAUCCUCCUCUUCGUUCUCCGCCUCAGACCACAACCCUCCUCCUCGUCUCCGUUCUCCGGCUACAAUCAGAACCCUACCCUCCUCCUUUUCCGCCUCGGACCAGCUCCUCUGCUCGACGAUGGAAUGCCGCAUCUCUUCUCUCUCUCUCUCUUUCCUUCUCUCUCCUGCAAAACUGGUGGCUCUGGUUAUCUGGACUUCCAAGCUUCCAGCUCUCCACCUCUGGUUAUCCAUAUUCGCUGGUGAGUCGGUGACAUUGCUGGUUCACAAUUUCAAUCGAAGGCUCGAACUCUUCCUCUUGCUGUGAAGCCGCAAAGCAGAAAUUUUGGGUUCGAAGCUUGGUGAUUCUUCAAGCUCGAUUUAUGGGUUUUGGAUUCAGUGAUUCUUCAACUCUUCACUCUUGUUAAGUUUCUGGGCGCAUUGUCAUUUGUAUGAUGGUAUCAAACUGUGAAUUGUUUCUGGGUUUAAUGUUUUCAAUCGAUCUGUUCUGGGUUUUCAGUUGAAGUAUCGAGCUCGUGGUCAACUGGUCUUGCUCUUGGAGUCUUGGUUCGAUUCAGAAAUCUUCAAGCUCAGGAUCCAAAGGAGGAGGCUAAAGCAGAGACAAGGGAUUGGAUAAACACUGUGGAUGAUUCUGCUGCACUUAGGAGUGCUGCUUCUACCUGGCACGCUGAACUGGCACCGCUCCUGAAGCC
Rosa rugosa (rugosa rose) is the source of this 931-nucleotide long non-coding RNA. RefSeq lists it as uncharacterized. NCBI's taxonomy places the organism in Eukaryota, Viridiplantae, Streptophyta, Magnoliopsida, Rosales, Rosaceae. The record is from RefSeq and is a predicted model, not a curated record. The transcript is spliced from 4 exons.